RNAcentral lists this long non-coding RNA (411 nucleotides) under Monodelphis domestica (gray short-tailed opossum). Its description in RNAcentral is "lncRNA (ENSMODG00000040716.1)". Lineage: Eukaryota; Metazoa; Chordata; Mammalia; Didelphimorphia; Didelphidae. The record is from RNAcentral.
CUUAAAAGUAAUUAAUUGAUAGCAUUGACAUUCACCAUUUCGUUUCAGGUUUUCCAGUGUGGGCUAGGGAAGCUCUCUAGAAGUUCUUUGGAGGUUUGCAUCCCACUCUCUUUGCUGUGUGAUUCAAGAGGAAUUCACUGACCUCCAAAUAAACACCAUUUUAGGAUGAGAAGCUUCUGAGAUUUGGGAAUCUACAGACAAUUUGGAAGCUUGUCAGGAUUAUUCUGCAAAGUCAACCAAAAGAGGAGGGCUGGAGUUCACAGAUUAUUAGCACCGAAUGUUGGAUUCAGAGGUUAUUAGCCACGUAUGGCAAAUGGAGUUCCUUUUCUGAAUGAUAACUGUAGGAGGCUUGUUUGAGUAACUGGCUAAAUGACAGACAAAUAAAGAAAUUCAAAAGCAAUUUUGAAAGCA